RNAcentral lists this long non-coding RNA (1537 nucleotides) under Patiria miniata (bat star). RNAcentral describes it as "uncharacterized LOC119732893". The record is from RNAcentral. Lineage: Eukaryota; Metazoa; Echinodermata; Asteroidea; Valvatida; Asterinidae.
UUCGUAAAUUGGCGGGGCACGUAUGGUGGAGGACUUCGAGAAAACGUCAAAACAGUCAAAGUGGUUAUCAUGACAGUCAGACUCAGAGCCAAUGAAGUGGAUGCUGUCAAGAAUGCUUAUGUGAACCACACAAAGCUGAUCUUCAACUGAAGGAAUGCCCAACUUUCAAAGUCCUUGCCAUUCGGUUUGUCAUGGUUAAACUCUGUUCAUUGAACUAAUAUGCUCUAGAACAGAGCUCCAGUAAAGUCUAUUGGGCCAACUUCUUGGGGCAUGGAAAUAAUCUUAUGAGUUAUGUAGUUAAACUGAAAUCUGAAAUGAGUGAUUUGAUUCCAAAUACAUUAACAAAUGGACUAAAUCUUCGUGAUGUUUAGACCUCGAGCACGUAGAUGCUUGGAACUAAUUAAGUCCAAUUUUAAAAUAGUUUGAAAAUAAGUUGCACAGUAAACCUAACCUUAACAUUAGGUUAGUGCUCAUAAAAGUAAAUUUAAACUUCAAAUAUGUAUAACUAUGUUUAAUUCACUUUAAUAAAUGAAAUCAAUAUUUGUUUAGAUUUAAGAAUAUCCAGUGCCUAAAACUAAGUCUUCCACUUGAUUUUAAGUUAAUUUAGAAAGCAUCAGCAGAACCAUAAAUGUAACAAAACCUAAGGACAAAGCUCAUAAAAGUCAAAUUUAGCUUUAGAUGUGAGGCAGCUCACUUGGGAUGGCAAUCCAGUUUUGACUGCAAUGUGGUAGCAUUCAAGUAUGCCAAAGUCAUUUUUGUUUCCACUAUUCUGUGUAAAACUGUAGACCCUUGCAGCAUUUGAAUUAGGUCAUUCAAUCAUCUGCAUGCAUCCAUUGACAGACAGUCAUAUUAACCACUGGCACUGACGACAUAAACCACCUAAUUAACCACUAACCAGACCUGUCCAAAUGUUGCAAGGACUGGGCAAAUAUUCCACGCUUCUUGGGAACUUGUGAGUUCACUUGUGCAUUUUCUUCUUAGGUUCUCAAAGCUGGAUUGCCAGUAAAAACAGUUGUAGCAUUGACAAAAUUUAUUGAAAAACAAACAAUUUGAGUCAACUUUUACAUUUGGCUGAAAUAAUGAGCACAAACAAGAAAGGAAAUGAAAAUGCUUUAAACAAAUUCUUUCAGAGCAUAAUCUACAAAAGGGCAUAUUUAAAAACAAUCUUAAUGUUAAAAAUGGACACAAAUUUUUAAUGAAAUUAAAUUCUCUAUGAAAAUGGUAUAAAUGAUAAAUAGCCAAACAAUAAAGGAUGUGUUCAAUGUAAAAAUGCAAUUUAAAAACUACAUUCAUAAAAAGAAAUGUUUGAAAGGAUUAGUUAGUAUAAGGCAUAAACCUGAAAGAAUUUUAUUUCAAAACUGUAAUUACAAACAAGGUAACUCACAUUUCUUGUUUGCCAUAACCACAUGAUUUAAAAAUUGAGGUAUAUGACAUUUAUUCAAGUUGGCCCUUGACAUACUUGGGACAAUGUUCAGUACGGAGCAGUAAAAUGUGAGAGUCAUUCUGGAGAAACUCUGAAAAUCGCCUCCAAUUAUAA